RNAcentral lists this ribosomal RNA (305 nucleotides) under uncultured bacterium. RNAcentral's name for it is "bacterial SSU rRNA". It matches the Rfam family "Bacterial small subunit ribosomal RNA", at positions 334 to 657 of the family's 1533-position model. The record is from RNAcentral.
GUGCCUACGGGGCGCAGCAGUGGGGGAUAUUACACAAUGGGGGAAACCCUGAUGCAGCGACGCCGCGUGGGUGAAGAAGCGCCUCGGCGCGUAAAGCCCUGUCAGCAGGGAAGAAAAUGACGGUACCUGAAGAAGAAGCCCCGGCUAACUACGUGCCAGCAGCCGCGGUAAUACGUAGGGGGCAAGCGUUAUCCGGAUUUACUGGGUGUAAAGGGGGCGCAGACGGCGAUGCAAGCCAGGAGUGAAAGCCCGGGGCCCAACCCCGGGACUGCUCUUGGAACUGUGCUGCUAGAGUGUCGGAGAGG